AAGGAGAUAAAUGUGGAGCUAGUGAAAGAAGCAGAUUUUUUUGGUGAUAUUGUUAUAGUUCCAUAUAUGGACAAUUACGACCUUGUUGUAUUAAAGACUGUAGCAAUUUGUGAAUAUGGGGUACGUGCAAUCUUUUUUUGGUGAUAUUGUUAUAGUUCCUUAUAUGGACAAUUACGACCUUGUUGUAUUAAAGACUGUAGCAAUUUGUGAAUAUGGGGUACGUGCAAUCACAAAAGUCCAAGAUGCUCAUCUAGGCCUCAGUUUUUUCUCAUAUGCUUUUUAACAUUUAUAUACUCGUGGAAUAUUUCAG
Molecule: long non-coding RNA, 310 nt
Filed under: Nicotiana benthamiana
Lineage: Eukaryota; Viridiplantae; Streptophyta; Magnoliopsida; Solanales; Solanaceae
Description: long non-coding RNA (NBEN_LNC028616)
Source: RNAcentral